RNAcentral lists this unclassified non-coding RNA (243 nucleotides) under Glomus sp. Its description in RNAcentral is "partial contains 5.8S ribosomal RNA and internal transcribed spacer 2". The stretch from base 1 to 65 matches the Rfam family "5.8S ribosomal RNA", at positions 84 to 154 of the family's 154-position model. The record is from RNAcentral. Lineage: Eukaryota; Fungi; Glomeromycota; Glomeromycetes; Glomerales; Glomeraceae.
GUGAAUCAUCGAAUCUUUGAACGCAAAUUGCACUCUCUUCGGAGAGUAUGCCUGUUUGAGGGUCAGCCUAAAAAAAAUCGCCUUAUUCGCUGUUUCGCGGUGACAUUCGUCGGAAAUUGGGUCAUCUUAAACCUUGGGGUUUUUUAAUCGGCUUAAAAUUUUCUUUACGUUUCCACGAACUUUUCUAAGAUUUUUUUUCUUACACACUUUUAAUGUAUCGAUCUUUAUUAGAUGUUUCUGUUG